Ailuropoda melanoleuca (giant panda) is the source of this 4649-nucleotide RNA transcript. It is a transcript of the gene named zinc finger protein 569-like, with no coding region annotated. The record is from RefSeq and is a predicted model, not a curated record. Lineage: Eukaryota; Metazoa; Chordata; Mammalia; Carnivora; Ursidae. The transcript is spliced from 4 exons.
GAUGUGGGGCUCGAUCCCAUAAUGCCAAGAUCACACCCUGAGCCGAAGGCAGAUGCUUAACCACUGUGCCACCCAGGCGCCCCAACGCAGUUGACUUCCUAGAGGACGGUCACUCUGCCUGUUUGAAGGGCUUGUCAAUGGGCUGUAAGUAGUAAGGAAACUUGGUUUUUCUUCUUUUGUUUCCCACAUCAUUACCCAUGGAAACUUCACGAGACAGACAAAACCAGCCAUCAUUUUAAGUCAUCUUUGGUGACGAGUUGAACAGAUACAACAUGAAUUUAACUAAUAAAUUCAUGUAGAAUAAAGGUUGAUAAUGUUAUGUUUGAUGUGUUGAUGACUUCAAAAGACAUGCCUAUUUUAAUUAAGCCAACAGACGUAAACUUUAAUUUUCCAGAGAUUAUCCCAGAUCACGUAAACCUGAGAAACAUUUGGAUUAGUUUCUAUCUUUCUGAGCUUUAGAAUCCUCAAUUUUUAUAAGCAUUUGUCUUCAAACCACCUAAUCACAGACCUCUUUUAUAAUGGAGUUUAGCAAUACCAUCUGGAGGUAGAAAAUACCAAAUAUCCACAGACAGAAACAAAAACCUUACAGUUGAGGUAUGUAUUUAUCCUUGACAAGGUAUCUUAUGGAAGCUGGGUGGUAGGUUUUGAACAAGGAUGCUUUUCUAGCCAUUUAUAUUUUUAGAAGUCCUCUUCUCCACCCCCCCUUUUUUCCUUUGGUUUUAGGAAUGGCGAAUGAUCUGGAUAAGAGUUCCUGGAGAGAUGCAGGACUUUGAAUGGUUUCUGGGGCCACAUUUCUGGUUUUUGCAAAGAUGUGCAAGAUAAGGAUAGUUGCCUUGAACCCCCCAAGGAUUUGGGUUGCAAUUUAAAUGACAUCAUCGGUUGAUCUGCCCAUCUGCUUAUAUUCUCAAUUUGCCUCUUCCCCUCUGAGCAUGUAGUUCUCAUUUGGACUUAGGGGAGAAGGCCUUAAAAAGAAUACCUAUCAGGCUGAUAUCUGAAUAUCAACUUCCAAUCUGGCCGAACUUGUGGCUACAGUUACCAGGGCUUUACCAUGGUGAGGACAAAGGAGGGUCUUGAUUUUAAUGCCCUGCUCCCUGGCAUCUCACUUGAAGAAUAAGACAAAGGUAGGGCGAUAAGUAUUUCUUCAGGAGUUGAUACUUUGGGGCUCAAUUUUGUCACUAUUUCGAAAAAUUUCUUAUUAGUUUCUUGCAUGGAUGGUAUCCUGUCAGUGUUUUUCUAGAAGCUUCUAAAUACCCAUCAGAAUAUGCACCCCACGAGGAUCAUUUAGUUAACAGCCGCUUUCUGGAUUCGGGUGCACGAAUACACUAAUUAGGUAUUCCAAAGUAGCUCAUUUAGGCCAUUUGAGCAUUAAAAUCAUCCUUAAUAGGGAUGCCUGGGUGGCUCAGCCGGUUAAGCGUCUCACUUUGGCUCAAGUCAUGGUCUUGGGGUCCUGGGAUCAGGCCCCGUGUAGGGCUCCACACUCAGCAGGAGUCUGUUUGUACUUCUCCCUCUGCCCCUCCCCCUGCUCACUCUCUCUCUCUCUCUUGCAAAUAAAUAAAUAAAAUCUUCAAAAAAAUUUUUUUUUAAAUCCUCCUUAAUAGGAUCCUAAAAAUGUUCUUAUCCCACUAACCUGUCCAGGGUGCAUGCUUCCAAGGAUCUGGGACGCUGUCACCUUCAACUGAGGACUUCUGGGCUCAACUCUAAAGAGGAUUCAGUCCACCAGAGCAUUUACCAAAGGGGCCUUUCUCCAUUUAAUAAAACCUUUUCCCCGAGCUUGGAUCUCUGUUAAGGAUUUGUCUCCACCUGCCAAGAGGUCUCUAAUAAGCGUGGGUGGAGCCAUCAGUUUGGGCGUUCUCAGCCAACUGAAAAGUUCCUUCUCUGGAGAGUUGGUAACUAAGCUCUUAAGACUGAUCAUUUAAAAGCACACACUCAGUUGUUUGGCUCUACCAAACUGGGGCCUCCCUAUCAGCUCCCGAAUCGGAGGUUUAUCUCCUUGAGGCCUCCAGGACGAGGUAUUCAGGAUCAGUAUCCCAGAUCACGGCGCAGACCUCGAGCCCUUCCUUUCCUCCUCCCUUGAAAUAGGGGCUGAGCCAGAAAGGCGAUUUGUGGGGUCAUUGCCACUGACCUCUCUGAAAGGACUCUCUGAUUACAAUGUCCAGAGCAGCCACUGAACCCAUUCAGUUGUGCCACCCAACACAUCAGCUGCUAAUAAGAAUUUUCUUAAUGCCCUUCCCCAAGGUUCCCCAGCAACAUAGACCAGUUGGCCCUGUGACCUGCCGCUGCCCACCUGGUGGGAGCUGGGGGAUCUCAAAGGUCUUAGGUGUGAGGUCCCAUCUGGGUUGUCGAAUUUUGUAACCUGGAACUGGAUUCACCUCUUGGUGGGUGUUGAGCCCAAAGACACGACCGAGCCAAAGAGUACAAAAGGAAGGGUUGUACUUGUGAUAAGUAAGGAGACACCAGUGCUAUUUCCCAGAGCAGUGUCUCCUGGGACAACAAGAGUGGGGAGUUUUCAGCUAAGGGUGCAUGGAUGUUCACAGAGCGUUGAGAGGUGGGGUGGGGGGGCUUUGGCAGAGGAGAAUUCAGUCUAGAAUUGGGGCAAAAGUCAUCCUGAGUUGACAGAGUCCAGGUCCUGGUACACUGAAGUCAUGGGGCCAGCAAGGGCUGGCACCAUCAUUCUCUGGUUCCGGUUAGUCUGGUGUUUGAGUGCUCAGGGGGGUUUAAAUCCUGCAAAAACGAUUAAAGAAUGUGCUUCAGGUCAAUCUUUGCUUUUGAAACAGCGCUGGGGGCUUACCACCAAUUCAUUAUCCCUGAUAUGUGGAGGCUAUCUCCCGCCCGGUAGUGGCCGUUUGUUGUCACUUUUUUUUGUUCCUUAGAAUAAUUAACGACUGAUGGCUAUCGUCCCCAAAUUUUAGCAUUUUCCAGGAAGUUCCACAGGAAAUGUGUUUGAGCACGUAGUGCUAGUCAGGCAUAGAUCACGAAAUGGCUGGGGGCCUCAAAUGGUAAUGGCUGGGGGCCUCAAAUGGUAAGAAAGCUAUGUCUCGUCUUCCUUUUUCCAGGGAUCCCUGACCCUCUCAGCCUGCAGAGGGUUAUCCUUGGCCUGUUUCUUGUCUCACGGCUUAAGAAAACUCCUUUGAAGAAGUCUUCAGCUCAUCAAAUACCUGGUGUGUAUUUGUGACCAUAUAUUAUUAGUAUACAAAUCCGCUUGCAUUUAAAUGAUGUCUUCUCUUUCGAUUUCUUCACAAAAUGUAAAUUAGUGGGGGCAGAGACUGCGUUCCCCAUCUGAUGGAUGAGGAAACAGGCUCAGAGAGGUUGAGACACUUAGCAGGGUCGGUCACACAGCUAGUUGGUAGGUGCUGGCCAGAAUGAUAGAGACUUGCCACCUGGCACUUCUAACUUCAGAUUCUCUGUCUGACUCUAUCUGGAGUCCUCCCAUAACAAAACCACUCAAGUCUCCUGUUUAAUAAGCUUGUUUCCUUCCUACUAAAAUUCUUUUUUUUUUUUUUAAGAUUUUAUUGAUUUAUUUGACAGAGAUAGAGACAGCCAGCGAGAGAGAGGGAACACAAGCAGGGGUAGCGGGAGAGGAAGAAGCAGGCUCCCAGCAGAAGAGCCUGAUGUGGGGCUCGAUCCCAGAACGCCGGGAUCACGCCCUGAGCCAAAGGCAGACGCUUAACGACUGAGCCACCCAGGCGCCCCCCUCCGACUAAAAUUCUUGGCAAGACAGUGAUUAUUUUACUCUCACGGAUGUAACAGGAACUCCGAUGUCUACUUUUGAGCACUCUGGAUGUUUCUUUAGUUCCUAAGCCGGCAGCAUCCUGCUUUGGAGGAAGGCUGCCCGCCUUCCAGGAAAUCCAUAUACACAGGUGUUUACACUUCUCCGCCCAAUCAGGGUACAAAGACACAGAGCACUUCGACCAUCUGGUUUGCAACAAUAAGGCAGAAGUCGAAAACUUUUGAGCAAAUGGGUGUCUCCAGGGGGAGUGGAACUAAGAAUGGAAGGUCAGGGGCAAAGUAUCUCGGGAUACACCCUACACCCGAGACAAAGUAUCUUCUGCCAGAUAGCUCUGAAAUCUACUAAGAAGUGGAGAGGCGGCCUGGGUGGCUCAGUCAGCAAUAACCAAUCACCAAAACAAUCCAAGAGGAUCUUAGUAGAAAAGGAGAGCUGGGGACCAGUUUGCUGAGAAGGAUCCCAGGCCAGAAAGUCCACUGAACUCACACCCCCAGGUGAACCAGGAACAUUCUGGGCUGGUUUCCGGAAGAAUGAUCUAACUUCCAGUUCUGUGGUUCUCAGACUUUGGGGUCUUGGCGGAAAAAUGGCAGAAUGAAUUUGGAGGACUGACUUACAUGCUCACGGAGGGAUAUUAUCUACAUUUGUGAAUCACAGCUCUGCAUGGCUCAGCAGAGACGCAAAUGAAAAAAAUCUGGUGAGAUUUUUGAAGAGACAUACGGGAAGCUGUUUGGUUGGAGAAAAGCUUGAGCAGCGUCUUUAGCCAGAAACCGCCAAGUAGAAUCUUGAGGUUAAGAAAGCUCUCCUUGGGGGUGCCUGGGUGGCACAGCGGUUGGGCGUCUGCCUUCGGCUCAGGGCGUGAUCCCGGCGUUAUGGGACCGAGCCCCACAUCAGGCUCCUCCGCUAUGAGCCUGCAUCUUCCUCUCCC